Molecule: ribosomal RNA, 253 nt
Filed under: uncultured bacterium
Lineage: Bacteria
Description: partial 16S ribosomal RNA
Rfam family: Bacterial small subunit ribosomal RNA
Source: RNAcentral
UACGGGGGGGGCAAGCGUUGUCCGGAUUUAUUGGGCGUAAAGAGCUCGUAGGCGGCUCGUUGCGUCGGCUGUGAAAACCCGCAGCUCAACUGUGGGCUUGCAGCUGAUACGGGCGGGCUGGGAUUCGGUAGGGGAGACUGGAAUUCCUGGUGUAGCGGUGAAAUGCGCAGAUAUCAGGAGGAACACCGGUGGCGAAGGCGGGUCUCUGGGCCGAUAUCGACGCUGAGGAGCGAAAGCGUGGGGAGCGAACAGG